AGCAACACAUAAACACUCAGGUUGGUGCCGGCCUUUCUACUGACAGGUCUUCAACAUUAGUCUGACCUGCUAGAGAGGCCAAUUCUCACUUCCUGCUGACCUCCAACCUCGCACUUCCUGUUUAAUAAAAAAAAGAAAAGAAAGAUAAACCCGAAAAGAGGGGGAAAAACACGCUCCGCCUCCUCCUGCUCCCUUUCUGCCUUCUCUCUUUUUCCAUCUCUCGCUGAGGCAAAAUCUGCCACGUCGAUUCUUUCGGCUAAAUCUGCGCCUUGACUUUUUUACGCAAAGCUAAGCGAGGACUGGUGGUAUCAUAAUCCGAAAUUCUCUGAAAAUCUCUGAAAAUUUCGAGAUAGAUUUCGCAGAGAUUUCGAGGAAGCUUCAACGCGAGCAGGUCAAGGUGAAAGAAAGGGCCGGGAAGGAAAAAAAAAGGCUAAAGGCUUUUUGCCACCCACGUUCCUGCCUUCCUUCAGAAAGCCCUCAAACACCAAGACCCCUCAGAAGACCCUCCUCUUCUUCUACACCCCCCCAAACCCACCCACCACUGCUCCUUUGGACCUCCACCGGUGAUCAGCCACAGAUAGUGAGAGAAAGACAGAGAGAGAGACAGUAAGAGUAAGAGAGAGAGGAAGGGAUGGAUGGAGGAAAGGAUGGACAAAAGGUUUCCGAGAAGAAUGAAAGAGAGAAAACGCCUGAUCACUCGUGUGCCAAAGCCGUUUGGCACGGACCCGCGAGGUUGCAAGCUUUGAGCGCAGGACUCAGUCUGGACUCAGACCAUCCCUGCAGACUCAGAGGCCUGACCCGCCUGCCCAGUGUUCAGACUACCUGUUCAGGAAGUAGUGAUUGUACAGUAGUCUGCACAUUGGUUAGGCUGAACAGGAGAACCACACUCUCACCUCCAUCAGCCGUGGAUGAAAAAUUGAUGACAAAAAAUUAAAGCAAAGAUCACUUAUAGGAAGCUAUUGAGUUAAGAGGAUAGAAAAUGUUUUUAUAUUCUAUAUAAGUCUCUAAUCUAAGUGAUCCAGUUAUUACAAAAUAGCUAUACACUAUAUAUUGUAUACACUAUAUAUUCAGUGUGUUUAAAUAAUGUUGAAAUAAUGAAAAAAAAACAUUGUUUGGGAUUUUUUUGCUAAAUAAAAUGCAGCCAAUGUGUGCUAAAAUACUACAUAUUAAAUGCUCUGCACAUUU
Long non-coding RNA from Astyanax mexicanus (Mexican tetra), 1185 nucleotides. RefSeq lists it as uncharacterized. NCBI's taxonomy places the organism in Eukaryota, Metazoa, Chordata, Actinopteri, Characiformes, Acestrorhamphidae. The record is from RefSeq and is a predicted model, not a curated record. The transcript is spliced from 2 exons.